AGAUUGAACGCUGGCGGCAUGCCUUACACAUGCAAGUCGAACGGCAGCACGGGAGCAAUCCUGGUGGCGAGUGGCGAACGGGUGAGUAGUAUAUCGGAACGUGCCCAGGUAAUGGGGGAUAGCCCGGGCGAAAGCCGGAUUAAUACCGCAUACGACCUACGGGUGAAAGCGGGGGGAUCGCAAGACCUCGCGUUAUGGAGCGGCCGAUAUCAGAUUAGCUUGUUGGACGGGGUAAAAGCCCACCAAGGCGACGAUCUGUAGCUGGUCUGAGAGGACGACCAGCCACACUGGGACUGAGACACGGCCCAGACUCCUACGGGAGGCAGCAGUGGGAAUUUGGACAUGGGCGUAAGCCUAGAUCCAGCCAUGCCGCGUGGUAGGGAAGAACGGGUCCUUCGGGUUAGUAACCGUACGUUUUGUCGUAACGGAAGAAACGGCGUUACCUACGUUAAAGUAGUUAAGGAGAC
RNAcentral lists this ribosomal RNA (467 nucleotides) under uncultured soil bacterium. Its description in RNAcentral is "bacterial SSU rRNA". It matches the Rfam family "Bacterial small subunit ribosomal RNA", at positions 26 to 516 of the family's 1533-position model. The record is from RNAcentral.